AGCCCUAAAAAAGAAAGAAUAAAACGACCUCAGUAUGCUACACAGAUAUACACUUACAAUCUAAUUCCUCACUUGUCACCGUAAUGUCAAUUUGUUCCUGUGCCGAACACAACACUCUGAGUGUGUGUGCACUCGUGGAGGAGCACCUAACCAUUCAUUGUUACCCAGUUGGGUCCACAGCGUUUGAUUCAGUCCUGUUAUAUUCUGUGUCAAGUCAGUGGGGAAGUCAGCUUGAUUUAAUUUUAUCUGAUUCAUGAUUUGAGCUUGUGCAAUAACAUGCGGCUAGAGUAUGCCCGAAGCUCUGUCUAGUUGUGCCGAAUGCUCACUUACAGCAAGCAGCAUGGGUGAGGAUGUAUAUGUUUCUUUGGAAAGUUAAGAAAUCAGCCUGUUCCAUUUCCAUAUCCGAAAUUUUGUCUGUGUAAUAUGUUGUGUGUUCACUAUCCACUAUUCUCGGUCUGGCCCCUUUCGAACUUGAUUAUCGUGGGCUGGCCCGUGGAGCCGUUGAUUAUCGUGACCCAGCCCCUUCCGUCCCUGAAUCUGGUGUGCCGCCUCGGUUAUGGCCUUAUGUUGGUGUCUCUGGUUUUCGCGGUACGGCCCCUGGCGUCCGUGAUUCUCGCGGACCGGCCCAUUGUGUCCCUGAUUCUCGCGGUGUGACCCCUGGCGUUCCUUAUUAGCGCGGUCCGGUCCCUGGCUUUCCUGAUUAUCUUUGGCCUGCCCCUGGCGCCCUUGAUUAUCGUGGGCCAGCCCCUGCCAUCCCUGAAUUUGGUGUGCCACCUUGUUGCAAUGGCCUUAGGUUCGUGUUCCUGCCUCUGGCGUCCCUGGUUCUCGCGGCCCGGCCCCUGGCGUCCCUGAAUCUAGCGGUCUGGCGCCUGGCGCCCCUGAUUGUAGCGGUCUGGCCCGUUGCGUCCAUGAUUCUCGCUGUCCGGCCACCGGCGUCCCUAAUUCUCGGUCUUGCCCCUUGAGUACCUGAUUAUCGCGGUCCGGCACGUGGCGUACCUGAUUAUCUUUGGCCUGCCCCUGGCGCCCUUGAUUAUCGUGGCCCAGCCCCUGCGUCCCUGAAUCUGGUGUGCCGCCUCGUUGGUUAUGACCUUAGGUUGGUGUCCCUGCCUCUUGUUCCUGGUUCUCGUCGUGUGGCCCCCGGGGUCCCUGGUUCUCGCGGUCUGGCCCCUGAUUCUCCCGGUACGGCCCCUGGUGUCCCUGACUUGCGGUUCGGUGCCUGGCUUUCCUGAUUAUCGUGGCUCAGCCCCUGCCGUCCCUAUAAUCUGGUGGGCCGCCUCGUCUAUGGCCUUAAGUUGGUGUCCCUCCCUGUCGUCCGUGGUUCACGCGGUCCGGCCCCUGGCGUCCCUGAUUCUCGCGGUCCGGUCCCUGGCUUUCCUGAUUAUCUUUGGCCUGCCCCUGGCGUUCUUUAUUAUCGUGGGCCAGACCCUGCCGUCCCUGAAUCUGGUGGGCCGCCCCUUUCAAUAUGGCCUUAGGUUGGUGUUUCUGUCCCUGGUUCUCGCGGUCCGGCCCCUGUCCGUGAUUCUCGCAGUCUGGUCCCUGGCGUCCCUGAUUCUCGGUGUGGCCCCUGCCGCCCUUGAUUGCCAUGGCCCAGCCCCUGCCGUCCCUCAACCUGUGGGCCGCCUCGUUGACUAUGGCCUUAGGUUGGUCUCUGCCUACCGUCCCUGGUUCUCGCGCUCUGGCCCCUGGCGUCCGUAAUUCUCGCAGUGUGUUCCCUGGCGUUCCCAAUUCUCACGGACUGGCGCGUUGCGUCCCUAAUUCUCGCGGUCUGACCCCUUGCGUCCAUUAUUAGCGCGGUCCGGUCCCUGGCUUUCCUGAUUAUCUUUGGCCGACCCCUGACGCCCUUGAUUAUCGUGACCCAGCUCCUGUCGUCCCUGAAUCUGGUGGGCCGCCUCGUUGGCUAUGGCCGUAGGUUGGUGUUCCUGCCUGUGUCGUCUCUGGUUCUCGCGGUCCGGCCCCUGGCGUGCCUGAUUCUCGGUCUGGCCCCUUGCGUACCUGAUUUUCGCGGUCCGGCCCAUGGCACCCUUGAUUAUCGUGGCCCAGCCCCUGCCGUCCCUCAACCUGUCGGCCGCCUUGUUGGCUGUGGCCUUGAGUUAAGUGUCCCUGCCUCUGUCAUCCCUGGUUCUCGCCGUCCGGCUCCUCGCGUCCGUGAUUCUCGCAGUCCGGCCCCUGGCGCCCGUGAUUAACGCGGUACGGUCCCUGGCUUCCUGAUUAUCGCGGCGCAGCCCCUGGCGCCGUUGAUUAUCGUGGCCCGCCGUCCCUCAAUCUGUGGGCCGCCUCGUUGGCUACAGCCUUAAUUUGGUGUCCCUAGUUCUCGUGGGCGGACCCCAUCGUUCCUGAUUGUCGCGUUCCGGCCCGUGGCGUCCCAGAUUAGCGCGGUUCGGUCCCUGGCUUUCCACAUUAUCUUUGGCCUGCCCCCGGCGCUCUUGAUUAUCGUGGCCCAGCCCCUGCCGUGUCAGAAUCUGGUGGGCCGCCUCGUUGAAUAUGGCCUUAGGUUGGUGUCCCUGCCUCUGUCAUCCCUGGUUCUCGCGGUCCGGCUCCUGGAGUCCCUGAUUACCACGGUGCGGUCCCUGGCUUUCCUGAUUAUCGUGAGUCAGCCCUUGCCGUCCCUGAAUCUGGUGUACCGCCUCGUUGGUUAUGGUCUUAGGUUGGUAUCCCUGGUUCUCGCGGUCUGGCCCCUGGCGUCCCUGAUGUCGCGGUCAGCCCCCCGGAGUCCAUGAUUCUCAGUCGGGCCCCUUGCGUACCUGAUUCUCCCGGUCCGGCCCCUGGCGUCCGUGAUUCUCGCGGUCCGGCCCGUUGCGUCCCUUAUUCUCGCGGUCUCCCCCCUGAAUUCCCUGUUUAUCGUGGGCCGGCCCUUGGCUUCCUUGGUUAACGAGCAGCAGCUCCUGCCGUCCCUGAAUCUGGUGGGCCGCCUCUUUGAAUAUGGCCUUAGGUUGGUGUCCCUGUCUACCGUCCCUGGUUCUCGCGGUCUGGCCCCUGGCGUCCGUAAUUCUCGCAGUGUGUUCCCUGGCGUCCCAAAUUCUCACGGUCUGACCCCUUGCGUCCAUUAUUAGCGCGGUCCGGUCCCUGGCUUUCCUGAUUAUCUUUGAUUCUGGUGGACCGCCUCGUUGGCUAUGGCCUUAGGUUGGUGUUCCUGCCUGUGUCGUCUCUGGUUCUCGCGGUCUGGCCCCUUGCGUACCUGAUUAUCGCGGUCCGGCCCCUGGCGCCCUUGAUUAUCGUGGCCCACCCCCUGCAUUCUAUGCACAGAGCAUAAAAUACUUGUUAGUCAACGCAUUUCAGCUUCGUAACAAUUAAAGGAUUCCAAGUUGACACUUGAACUUGGAAGCUCGCCUACACAAUAACCUUCAGAAUGACAAGCUGAGACCUGAACAUGUGUGUUCCAAUGUCCUGUACAAGUCCAUUAAUCAUUCUAACUUAAUUUAUAUUUUCAGGUCAUACUGCCUCAAACAGAGGGUCUGGCCUCUGGCGUCCCUUAUUAGCGCGGUCCGUUCCCUGGCUUUCCUGAUUAUCGUGACCCAGCUCCUGUCGUCCCUGAAUCUGGUGGGCCGCCUUAUUAUAUUAUUUAAUGAAAUUUUAUAAUAUGUUCAGUAUUUAUAAGUUAAUUAAAACAAUUGAACAAAUUAUGAACGAACUCAACCUAUUUCAUGAAAUUUUUUCCGAAUAUUCUUUGUCGAUUUCACGUUAAUAUAAGGAAAUACAGACCAUAGCAUUAGGUUGGUGUCCCUGCCUGUGUCGUCUCUGGUUCUCGCGGUCCGGCCCCUGGCGUGCCUGAUUCUCGCAGUCGGGCCCCUAGCGCCCUUGAUUAUCGUGGCCCAGCCCCUGGCGUCCCUCAACCUGUGUUCCCCCUCUUUGGCUAUGGCCUUAGGUUGGUGUCCCUGCCUCUCUCGUCCCUGGUUCUCGCGGUCCGGCCCCUGACAUCCCUGAUUCUCGCGAUCUGACCUCUGGGGUCCCUUAUUAGCGCGGUCCGGUCCCUGGCUUCCUGAUUAUCGUUGGCCGGCCUCUGGCGCCCUUGAUUAUCGUGGCCGAGCUCCUGUUGUCCCUGAAUCUGGUGGGCCGCCUCGUUGGCUAUAGCCUUAAGUUGGUGUCCCUGCCUCUGUCGUCCCUUGUUGUCGCGGUCCGGCCCCCGGCGUCCCUGAUUCUGGGUCUGGCCCCUUGCAAUACUGAUUAGCGCGGUCCGGCCCCUGCCGUCCCUCAACCUGUGUUCCCCCUCUUUGGCUAUGGCCUUAGGUUGGUGUCCCUGCCUCUGUCGUCCCUGGCUCUCGCGGUCCGGCCCCCUGCGUCACUGAUUCUCGGUCUGGCCCGUUGCAUACCUGAUUAUCGCGGUCCGGCCCCUGGCUUCCCUGAUUAUCGUGGGCCGGCCCCUGGCGCCCUUGAUUAUCGUGGGUCAGCCCCUGCCGUCCCUCAAUCUGUGGGCCGCCUUGUUGGCUAAGGCCUUAGUUUGGGGUCCCUGCCUCUGUCAUCACUGGUUCUCGCGGUCAGGCCCCUGGCGUCCCUGAUUAGUGCGGUCCCGUCCCUGGCUUUCCUGAUUAACUUUGGCCGGUCCCUGGUGCCCUUGAUUAUCGUGUCCCAGAUCCUGACGUCCCUGAAUCUGGUGGGCCGCGUUGUUGGCUAUGACCUUAAGUUGGUGUCCCUGCCUCUGGCGUUCCUGGUUCUCGCGGUCCGGCCCCUGGCGUGCCUGAUUCUCGCGGUCUGGCCCCUUGCGUACCUCAAUCUGUGGGCCGCCUCGUUGGCUAUGGCCUUAGUUUCGUGUCCCUGCCUGUGUCUCUGGUUCUCGCGGUCCGGCCCCUGGCGUACGUGAUUCUCGCAGUGGCCCCUGGCGUCCCUUAUUAGCGCGGUACGGUCCCUGGCUUCCCUGAUUAUCGUGGCCCAGCUCCUGUCCCUGAAUCUUGUGGGCCGCCUUACUUUAUUAUUUAAUGAAAUUUAAUAUGGUCAGUAAUUAUAAGUUAAUUAGAACAAUUUAAACAAAUUAUGAACGAACUCAGCCAAUUUCAUGAAAUUUUUUCCGAAUAUUCUUUGUCGAUUUCAGGUUAAUAUAAGGAAAUACAGACAAUAGCCUUAGGUUGGUUUUCCUGCCUGUGUCGUCUCUGGUUCUCGCGGUCCGGCCCCUGGCGUGCCUGAUUCUCGCAGUCGGGUCCCUGUCGUCCCUGAUUAUGGCGGUCCGGCCCCUAGAGCCCUUGAUUAUCGUGGCCCAGCCCCUGCCGUCCCUCAACCUGUUGGCCGCAUCGCUGACUAUGGCCUUGAGUUAGUGUCCCUGCCUCUGCCGUCCCUGGUUCUCGCGGUCCGGCCCGUGACGUCCCUGAUUCUCGCAGUCUGACCUCUGGCGUCCCCUAUUAGCGCGGUCCGGUCCCCGACUUUCCUGAUUAUCGUGGUCCUGCUCCUGUCGUCCCUGAAUCUGGUGGGCCGCCUCGUUGGCUAUAGCCUUAGGUUGGUGUCCCUGCCUGUCGUCUCUGGUUCUCGCGGCCCUGUCCCUGGCGUGCCUGAUUCUCGCAGUCUGGCCCCUUGCAUACCUGAUUAUGGCGGUCCUGUCCCUGGCGCCCUUGAUUAUCGUGGCCCAGCUCCUGCCGUCCCAGAAUCUGGUGGGCCGCCUCGUUGACUAUGGCCUUAGGUUAGUGUCCUGCCUCUGUCGUCCCUGGUCCGCCGUCCGGUCCCUCGCAUCGGUGAUUCUCGCAGUCCGGCCCCUGGCAUCUCUGAUUAGCGCGGUACGUUCCCUGGCUUUCCUGAUUAUCGUUGGCCAGCCCCUAUCGCCCUUGAUUAUCGUGGCCCAGCCCCUGCCGUCCCUAAAUCUGUGGGCCGCCUCGUUGGCUAUUGUCUUAGGUUGGAGUCCCUGCCUCUGUCGUCCCUGGUUCUCGCGGUCAGGCCCCUGUCGUACACGAUUCUCGCGAUCCGCCCCCUGGCUUCCCUGAUUAUCGUGGCUCAGCCCCUGCCGUCCCUGAAUCUGGUGGGCCGCCUCGUUGCUUAUGGCCUUGAGGUUGGUGUCUCUGCCUCUUUCGUCUCUGGUUCACGCGGUCCGGCCCCUGGCGUCCCUGAUUUUCGCGGUCCGCCCUCCUGCAUCUCUGAUUCUCGAUGUCCGUCCCCUGGCGUACCUGAUUAUCGCGUUCCGAUCCCUGGCGCCCUUGAUUAUCGUCGCCCAGCCCCUGCCGUCCCUGAAUCUGGUGGGUCGCAUCGUUGGCUAUGGCCUUAUGUUCAGGGGCGGCAACCACUCAUAACAGCCAUCCAGCCCGUAUAAAGUCGCUAUAUCGACUACGCGAUCACGGCCAUUUCUUUGUUGGUAAACUGCAACUAUUUAAAGAGUCUGGGUGAGAAAGUGAAAUCUCCCCGCAGGGAGACUUGACCUUGCAGACUGAACUACAUUUUUCUUUAAUUUGACCAAUUACCUAGAGACAGUGAUGCUUGGUAAGUGACGAGUCAACUGUCAUGAUACUUACAACAUAUAUCCGCCUUAAUGUUUCUAGCACUGCUCCCAGCAGCACUAGGCCAAAGAUACCCUGCAACACAUCAGUACAGGAGUCACAUGAGUUUUAAUCCCAAUUGAAACUUGCCUACUGACUGAGAUUCUGAAAUUUACCUCUAAGAAUAUAUGGCGAUUUAUUAUUUAUCUAAUCCUGUUCAGGAAAUUUGAGUGAAUCUCUCUCUCUCUC
This is a long non-coding RNA of Cryptotermes secundus, 6635 nucleotides long. RefSeq lists it as uncharacterized. The record is from RefSeq and is a predicted model, not a curated record. NCBI's taxonomy places the organism in Eukaryota, Metazoa, Arthropoda, Insecta, Blattodea, Kalotermitidae. The transcript is spliced from 2 exons.